RNAcentral lists this ribosomal RNA (459 nucleotides) under uncultured bacterium. RNAcentral's name for it is "SSU rRNA". It matches the Rfam family "Bacterial small subunit ribosomal RNA", at positions 26 to 518 of the family's 1533-position model. The record is from RNAcentral.
AGAAUCAACGCUGGCGGCGUGCCUAACACAUGCAAGUCGAACGAGAAAGUGGAGCAAUCCAUGAGUAAAGUGGCGCACGGGUGAGUAACACGUGACUAACCUACCCUUGAGUGGGGGAUAACCUAGAGAAAUCUGGGCUAAUACCGCAUAAUACCUUCGGGUCAAAGGAGCAAUUCGCUUAAGGAGGGGGUCGCGGCCGAUUAGUUAGUUGGCGGGGUAAUGGCCCACCAAGACUAUGAUCGGUAUCCGGCCUGAGAGGGCGCACGGACACACUGGAACUGAAACACGGUCCAGACUCCUACGGGAGGCAGCAGUGGGGAAUUUUGGACAAUGGGGGAAACCCUGAUCCAGCCAUGCCGCGUGAGUGAUGAAGGCCUUCGGGUUGUAAAACUCUUUCGACGGGACGAUAAUGACGGUACCCGUAGAAGAAGCUCCGGCUAACUUCGCGCCAGCAGCCGC